UACAGAGGUCUCAAGCGUUGUUCGGAUUCAUUGGGCGUAAAGGGUGCGUAGGUGGCGCUGUAAGUCGGGUGUGAAAUUUCGGAGCUUAACUCCGAAACUGCAUUCGAUACUGCGGUGCUUGAGGACUGGAGAGGAGACUGGAAUUCAUGGUGUAGCAGUGAAAUGCGUAGAGAUCAUGAGGAAGACCAGUGGCGAAGGCGGGUCUCUGGGCUGAAACUGACGCUCAUGCACGAAAGCGUGGGGAGCAAACAGG
This 253-nucleotide ribosomal RNA is filed under the name uncultured bacterium. RNAcentral's name for it is "partial 16S ribosomal RNA". It matches the Rfam family "Bacterial small subunit ribosomal RNA", at positions 524 to 776 of the family's 1533-position model. The record is from RNAcentral.